This 22-nucleotide microRNA is filed under the name Chiloscyllium plagiosum (whitespotted bambooshark). RNAcentral's name for it is "microRNA PC-3p-1213449_1". Lineage: Eukaryota; Metazoa; Chordata; Chondrichthyes; Orectolobiformes; Hemiscylliidae. The record is from RNAcentral.
UGUGUAUCUGUGUGAGUGUGUG